GACGAACGCUGGCGGCGUGCUUAACACAUGCAAGUCGAACGGUAAGGCCCUUCGGGGUACACGAGUGGCGAACGGGUGAGUAACACGUGGGUGAUCUGCCCUGCACUUUGGGAUAAGCCUGGGAAACUGGGUCUAAUACCGAAUAGGAUCAUGGCCUUCAGGGGUUGUGGUGGAAAGCUUUUGCGGUGUGGGAUGGGCCCGCGGCCUAUCAGCUUGUUGGUGGGGUAAUGGCCUACCAAGGCGACGACGGGUAGCCGGCCUGAGAGGGUGUCCGGCCACACCGGAACUGGGAGGCUGCCCAGACUCCUACCGGAGGCAGCUGUGGGGAAGAUUGCACAAUGGGCGCAAGCCUGAUGCAGCGACGCCGCGUGGGGGAUGACGGCCUUCGGGUUGUAAACCUCUUUCAGUAGGGACGAAGCGUAAGUGACGGUACCUACAGAAGAAGCACCGGCCAACUACGUGCCAGCCGCCGCAGUAA
Molecule: ribosomal RNA, 478 nt
Filed under: uncultured bacterium
Lineage: Bacteria
Description: partial 16S ribosomal RNA
Rfam family: Bacterial small subunit ribosomal RNA
Source: RNAcentral